GUUCGAGCGUCAUUAUAACCCCUCAAGCCCAGCUUGGUGUUGGGGCCUGCUGUUACCGGCAGCCCUUAAAAUCAGUGGCGGUGCAUCUGGCUCUAAGCGUAGUAAUACUUCUCGCUACAGGGUCCUGGUGGAUGCUUGCCAUCAACCCCUAAAUUUCUAUGGUUGACCUCGGAUCGGGUAGGGAUACCCGCUGAACUUAA
Molecule: unclassified non-coding RNA, 200 nt
Filed under: soil metagenome
Description: partial contains internal transcribed spacer 2 and large subunit ribosomal RNA
Source: RNAcentral